This is a long non-coding RNA of Arachis duranensis, 1597 nucleotides long. RefSeq lists it as uncharacterized. The record is from RefSeq and is a predicted model, not a curated record. NCBI's taxonomy places the organism in Eukaryota, Viridiplantae, Streptophyta, Magnoliopsida, Fabales, Fabaceae. The transcript has 10 exons.
CAGCAUGGAUAUAGAGAUGGUCGUCUUGAGGAGGUAGUUCUGCGACAUCUUAGAGCUGCAGAUGGCGAUACAGUGAUUGCCAAAGAUAUCAACUAAUUGGUAGAAGUCAUAAAUUAGCUACAGAAGUAAUAAGUGCCAAGCUUGUGGACCUUGCUCUUGAAUUUGGAAAAAUUUAUGAAGGAGAAGGCUUCAAGUACAUACAGAAAAGUUUUGCCAAUGGCACAUUGCAUCUCAUUGGGUUAUUGAGUGAUGGUGAAGUCCAUUCCCGACUUGAUCAGUUGUAGGUUCGGUUACACAAACUCUACAUGCCAGGCUUACACAAAGACUCUGAAUUAUCCAAACUAGUACAGUAGUACCACCGUUAUCCAGUGAUGAACCAAGUAGAUAAGCCACCCCCACCACUCAUUUAUUAAUAUCUUAUCAACAGAAAUAUGAAAAUUUUUUUAAAGGAAAAUUCUUCAAUAAAUUUAACUAAAUAUUCAUUGAUUGCAGUGAAUAUCACUGGAAAUGCUAUUUAUGAUCCCAUAGGCUCAAUCGUAGUUGGCAACUUACUUGGCAUGGUAAAGAGGCUCAGUAGGCAGUAAUUUCUCUACCAUCUGAUGUAAGAGACACAAAUCUGAAAUUUAUUUUCACAUGAUUUUAUGCUGAAUUGACCAUGCAGGUAGCCAUAUUUCUUAUCCAGAGAAAUCGACAUGCUUUAAUUGACAGAGCUAUGGAUGACCAUGUAAAUUUAUUGCUCGCAUCUCGUAUUGGUUAACAUAAGAUGUGAGACUUAAAGAAGAUCUAAACGUAGCCUUAAGUUAGUUAGAAGCUUGCUGACUUGGCAUGGGAUGUUAUACAUUUAGUUGUAUGAUAGCCAUGUUCCUUCAGCACUAAUAUCUUCUCUUUUCCUUCUGUUUUGCUUUUUAAUUUUGAAAUAUACAGGGUGAUUACAUCAAAGAAGGCCAACUAAUAGGGUAUCUGGAUCAGUUUGGCACUUCACUUCCUGUUAAGGUGAUUUUUCUUAGCCUCUUUAAUUGUGAGUAAUUUUGAAAUGUCUACUUCCUACUGACCAUUUUUCUUUUUAUCUUUUUUUGGGUUAAAUUUAAUUGUGAGUAAUCACUAAGCCUCACAAGUUCCACUACAUUAGAGCUCAAGCUUCAGGUUCAACAAAAAUUGAGGGGAUUCCUGAGAAAACAGAUUUCAAGGAUGAUAACUUAGUAUAUUUUGCUGGUGCUACUGGUAGAGUUGGUUCAAGAACUGUUAGAGAGCUUAUAAAACUUGGAUUUAAAGUAAGAGCUGGAGUGAGGAGUGCUGAGAGAGCUGGUCCACUAAUCAAGAGUGUUGAGCAAAUGAAGCUUGAUGAUGGAACAAGUGGAGGGAGUCAAGAAGACACUUUAUUUGGGGGUCAAGUAUCAAACCAUCAGGUGGCAGAACUUAUGGCAGUCAUGGCCAAGAACCCUGAUCUUGCAUAUUGUAAAAUAGUGGAGGUAGUAGCAGAGACAACUACACUGCUGGCUCCCACGAAGGAGCUUCUUGCAAAGAUAUCAUCUCAAAGACCUUAUAUUUCUUCACCAAAGAAACCGGGUGUUGCAGCCGUUAGUAAUCCAACUCCCUC